GGUCGCAUAGCGCAGUUGGUUAGCGUGCAACCUUCACACUCCGCCUUCGUGGCGCGAAUGGUUGCGGUUGAGGCCCCCGGUUCGAGCCCGGGUGUGAUCA
This is a non-coding RNA of Tilletiaria anomala UBC 951, 100 nucleotides long. The record is from the annotation of a RefSeq genome assembly. Lineage: Eukaryota; Fungi; Basidiomycota; Exobasidiomycetes; Georgefischeriales; Tilletiariaceae.